GACGAACGCUGGCGGCGUGCUUAACACAUGCAAGUCGAACGGAAAGGCCUCUUUCGGGGGGUACUCGAGUGGCGAACGGGUGAGUAACACGUGAGUAACCUGCCCCUGACCUUGGGGUAACUUCAGGAAACUGGGGCUAAUACCGGAUAGGAGCUCCUGCUGCAUGGGGGGGGGUGGAAAGUUUCGGCGGUUGGGGAUGGACUCGCGGGUUAUCAGCUUGUUUGUGGGGUAGUGGCUUACCCAGGGUUUGACGGGGAGCCGGGCUGGGGGGGUGGACGGGCAACUUGGGGAUGAGGUACGGCCCAGGAUCCCACGGGGAGCAGGAGUGGGGGAUAAUGGACCAUGGGUCGGAGCCUGGAGGAACCAAGCCGGCUGCGGGAUGACGGGCUUCGGGUUGGAAACCGGUUUCCGCCAGGACCGAAGCUUGUGUGACGGUAAUGGGUAAAGAAGCACCGGCUAACUACGUG
RNAcentral lists this ribosomal RNA (467 nucleotides) under uncultured bacterium. RNAcentral's name for it is "partial 16S ribosomal RNA". It matches the Rfam family "Bacterial small subunit ribosomal RNA", at positions 28 to 507 of the family's 1533-position model. The record is from RNAcentral.